UUUCCACCAGGCAUGAUAUUGGUAACUCGUCGAGAUUCCUCGAUAAGUGGUAGGACUGAAAGAUCAGGUUUUGGCUUGCUUUCCUUCUCAUAAACGUAAUAUCAUUUUCCGUUGUUUUUACCUGAAAUGCCAAAAGCACAAAGCAGUUGGAACAAAAAACAUGUUACAAUACCCCUCUUCACCUUCUUUCCGAAAAAGGCUGAUCUAAUAAAAUUACUGAAGUUCUAGAUUACCAUUUCGUCCAUUUUUUAUCAAGAUCUCAACCAAUGGAGAUUUAAAUGUGCGAUCAGGGAAAGCACGAGAUAAUUCCUUUCCAGCAGCAAGGGCUACUCCGUAGCCUCCCAAGUCUUGAAGCCUGCAAGUCAAGAGCGCUAGAUAUUAUCAACAUUGUAGUUCUUAAUUCUACGAUCAGUAGGCAUAAACAUUCCUAAAAAAAAGCCAGAUCCUAUGUUAAGAUGAACAGAAUAAGGAGUGACCCCAAGCCAACAAGGCUCUUUGCUUUGCAAGGGUCGGGGAGGAAUGUCUAUCGUACGCAGCCUUACCUUUACAAAGAGACUAUUUCCAUAACUCGAACCCGUGAUCUUUUUUGGUCACAAAGGUGCAACCUUUCCGUUGUGCCAAGGCUCGCCCUCUAAAAUGAACAAAAGAAAACAGGAAAUCUAGGUACGGUGAAAAGGAAGAAAGUUACUGGAAUGGACCCAUAGGUAGGCCAAAAUCCCUGAUGAUCCUGUCAAUUCUGAACACAUCCACUCCUGAAUUGACUAAUAAAUGGGCACUUUGUGAGUAGGGAAAGAAUGCUCGAUUGGCGGCAAAGCCUGUGCAGUUACCAACCACAACAGGAACUUUCUUUAUUAUUUUUCCAACAGUAAAAAGAUCAAGAAUAACUUGUGCUGAAGUCUUCUCUGUCCGUACUAUUUCAAGAAGAGGCAUCACAUGAGCAGGGCUGGCCAUCAAAGAACGAUUCAAAAAUAAGUAGAGUAUAAACAAAAAGCAUUCCACCAUAACUAUCAGUACAUAUAUAAAAAAUGAUGACAAAAAAUGGUUUUAGAUGAGUAAGACAUUUCUAAGUGGAAAAAAAGCGUGUUUCUUUUCUUCGAGUGGUAAAGAUGUGUGCUACUGGGAAGAAAAAUGCAUGAAAUAACCUGAAAAAAUGUGCCCCCACAAUGCGAUCAUGAGAGUUUGUCUUUUCUCCAACAACGUUGAGGUCAAUAGUGGAUGUGUUUGUAGCCAAUACGCAGUGAGGAGGACAAACAUUCUCGAGUUCACUAAAGAUUUUUUGUUUGAGAGGAACACUUUCAAUGACGGCCUGCAAACAAGGAAUAAUUGUAUCAAAUGACUUUCAAACAGAAAUUCAAGAGGUAAUAUGUAGAUAAUACAAAUUUCAUUACAACAAGAAGCAUUAAGUAGAGAGCAGAUGCUAAGGCUCUCAGUGUAACAUCUCACAUCGUUCAGGGGAGUGAUCCUUAUAUGUAUAUUCUCAUCCCUACCUAGCACGAGGCAUUUUGGGAACUCAUUGACUUCGGAGUUCAUCGAAACUCGAAAGUUAAGCGAGUAGCGCAUGAGAGCACUUCUAUGAUGGGUGACCUAUUGGGAAGUUCUCGUGUGAGUUCCCAGAAACAAAACCGUGAAGGCAUGGUCGAGGCCCAAAGCGGACAAUAUCGUGCCCAGGGAAGUGAUCCUUAUAUGUAUAUUCUCAUCCAUACCUAGCACGAGGCCUUUUGGAAGCUUAUUGGCUUCGGAGUUCAUCGGAAUUCAGAAGUUAAGCAAGUAGCGCACGAAAGCACUCCCAUGAUGGGUGACUCACUGAGAAGUUCUUGUGCGAGUUCCCAGAAACAAAACCGUGAGGACGUGGUCGGGGCCCAAAGCGGACAAUAUUGUGCUACGGCGGUGGAGCGGGCCUGGGAUGUGGUGGACCCCGGGUCGGGAUGUGACAAUUUGGUAUCAGAGCCAAUCCCUGGCCGGAAGUGUGCCAACGAGGACGUCGGGCCUUUAAGUGGGGUGGAUUGUAACAUCCCACAUCGCCCAGGGGAGUAAUCCUUAUAUGUAUAUUUUCAUCCCUACCUAGCACGAGGCCAGGGGAGUAAUCCUUAUAUGUAUAUUCUCAUCCCUACCUAGCACGAGGCCUUUUGGGAGCUCAUUGGCUUCGGAGUUCAUUGGAACUCGGAAGUUAAGCGAGUAGCGCACGAGAGCACUUCCAUGAUGAGUGACCCAUAGGAAGUUCUCGUGUGAGUUCCCAGAAACAAAACACUGAAGAUGUGGUCGGGGCUCAAAACGAACAAUAUCGUGCUACGACGGUAGAACGGGUCUGGGAUGUGGUGGACCCCGGGUCAAGAUGUGACACUCAGGCCCAAAAAGGUGGUCAAUACAGAUGAGCACAAGAAAUCACCUCUAACAGAACAGAGAAGGUUUAAGAAAAUGGUCCGAAAAUAUGAAAGAAAAAACAAAAAAGAAAUUGAAAACAUCUGGUAUGGCAUUCUAAAAUUCCAUACCUCUAUGACCAUAUCCACAUCUUUGAAGUCGGAGUAGUCCAAACUAUCUUUAAGCAAUGCGAGAGCUUUCUGUGCCUUGUCCUGUGUCAGCCCCCUUCUAGUUACUAAGCCUUUAACGUUUCCUGUUGAAACAAAAAAACAACGAUAAAGAAUUUGAAGAUUUCAGGUUUCAAAUAUCACCAGUGCACUGUAUACUCAAAAACCAUGCCAGAGUGUGAUUUUGUUAGUUAUCUGAAAACAAGUGAACCAUCAAUCUGCUACAAAAUUCAGCAUGGACUCCCAGUUAAAAUAAACAUGAUCUAAUGCAGCCUGAAUCCUGAAGACUCAUUCAUAACUCAUAGGAAAAUGGUAAAUAUCAAGAAUUCUGCCAAUGAGGUAACCACCUUCUAUCUUUUCUAUGCCCUUCUGAAGAUAUUCAAAGUUGACUUCCUUUAGAACCACAGAUAUAUUGCUGAGGAGAAGGGCUGUAGCAAUGCCAGAACCCAUCAGACCUCCCCCAAUAACAGCAACUUUCUUUAUUUGCCUUGGUUUAAGGCCAACAUCAGUAACAUUGGGCACCUGCAUAAGUUAAAAUUUAAGUAGAUACAACAAGAAUCAAAAGGAGGGUAAAAUGCAGAAACCGCUUCCUGGCAACAGAAGAUAAUAAACACUCUUCAUAAAAUUUAAAUAAUUAGCAGAGGCAUUGCAUAAAAGCAUCAAUACAAAUUCAAUUACUUAAGGAUGAAUAGUGGAUAACUGGAUUUAGAAAGCCAAAACAAAUGGGAAAUCUCAUUAAGAAGCCAGGAGAGGGUUGUUUAGGGCCAAAUCUGUCAACAAAUGUCAUCAACACAAAGACAGAGGACUGGAAAAAAAUCUAAAAAAAAAAAAAUGGGAAAAAGGGACCGGGCAAGCUAGUAAAGAAGCUACUUGUGUAUCAAGAUCGUACCUUUGAUGUUGCGCGUUGGGCAAAAAAAACAUGGACAAGACUCUUGCAGUGUCUGCUAGAAGUAACUCCUUAGAAACUUUAGCCUCCUGAAAUAACAAUUUAAUUUGUUAGAACAUAUGUGAACCGGCAUGCCAUUACACAUAUGAAGGACGAUUAAACAUGUAUAACAAACAAUGUAUUAAAAGGCCGGGGAGUGGGCGAGGCGUCGGAGGGAUAGCCCGGCCUAGGCGUCGGAGGGAUAGCCCGGCCUAGGCGUGAGGCGUGAGGCGAAGCUUCACGGGAUUAAUUUUUUUUAAAUAUAUGUUUUACAUAUUAUACAUAUAAUUGUAUUAAAAAAAUAAUACUUUGUAAAAUAAACAUCCAUUCUCAAUUUAUCAUUCAAAUCAUAGUCAUUCAAAAGAUAAUAUCAUCUAAUUUCAUCAUUCAAAAGGUAAUAUCAUCCAAAUUCAUCAUUCAAAAAAUAACACAAACAUUAACUAAAAUUGAAACAUGGAAUUUUCUGUUUUUGCCACUUUUUAGAUAGCAAAGAAAUGCAGCUUUUUUGUUUUUUUACCACAAAAUGCCUAAUUUAAUAUUUAUGCAAGAAUUUUACACCCUAAAUAACUGAAAAACUCUACAGAAUUCAUAAAUAAUUGAAAGGGAAAUUUUAUUUAAACUCAUCUAACCUAUUUUAUUCAUAAUACUUGAUUUCUUUGGUCUGGCCCCCGUAGUUAUUCCAUUCCACAGGACACUCCCACCAGGACUUUGCAUGGGGCCGCCAUGCUCCUUGACAGGCCACCCAAACAAAUUAGGGUUUUAGCCAGAAUGAACGUAGGAUAAACAAAGAGUGAUGGUAGGGUUUAAUUAUAGUGUUUGGGUUUAUUGAUAAAUUUGAGUUUUAUUAUUAAUUUUAUUUUGUACUUAAUAGUAAUGAUGCAAUAGGGUAAAAUAGACAAUUAACAUUUAAAAUUUCAGUUGAGUGUAAAAAGAGGUUGAAUAAGUUUAAAUAAAAUUUCCCUAAUUGAAAAUACAGAAAUUAUGUGCAUCAUUCAAGAUCUCAGGAAAACCAAGAUUUUCAAAACCAAUUAGUUUCAAUUAGAUCUCAGUCAAGUCCAAACCUUUUUGGCCAAUUUGCCAGCUUUACACAUUACAUACAAGCUUAACUAUUAAAAUAAACUAAUUUAAUCAUAUAAUUCAACUUAAUAAACCAUUAAAAAAUUAGAGACAGAAAGACAUAGACAGAGAAUACAAUAAAUUCAAAAAGAAUCAAUAGAAAAAGGAAAUAGAAAGUGAAGAUCUAGCAUAAAAUAAACUAUACUGCCUUAAAAUCAGAACCAACACACUUUAUUUCGACAAAUUAAGGAAACCCAGUUCCAGAAUCUCCCACAAAACAGAAAAGAAACUUUAUUUCGACGAAUCAAGAAAACCCAGUUCCCUUUUCAAGUUGAAGAGUCAACAAACAUCGAACAUAUACUUCUCUCUCUCGCGCGCGCGCGCACACACACUCUCUCUCUAGAAAAAGCUUCAGCAAGUACAAAAAGAAACAGACUUGGAAGCUCAAAGUACAGACUAUGGCUUCUACGUAGCUGGUAUUAGUUCGAGAUUACUUCCAUUAUAUUUAAAUAAUAAAAAAAUAGAGGAGGAAGAAGAAGGAGUUGGUGGUUGAAAGGUUGCAGCAAGAUAGCCAUAGCAUUAUUGGAAGGUGUAGCAUGAGAGAGACUAUUGUAAAGAAACAAAAAGGAGAAGAAGAAAAUCAAUUGGCAAUAUGAGUAAUAGUCUAAGAUCAUAUAAGCACGUAGCAAGCAUUGUUUCUCAUCGAUGUGGGACAACUCUCAACACGCCUCGUAUGUAUGGCAGAUUUUCAAGCCUACACAUGGAUAACAACUGGGUGACGUGGAGCACGUGUGGCCGUUUGGCUUCACACGAUGACAACCUGCUUUGAUACCAUGAUGAAAUUAGGGUUCCACCAUUAAACCAAUUGGCAAUACGAGGAGUAACCCAAGAUCAUAUAAGCACAUAGCAAACAUUGUUCCUCACCGAUGUGAAACAACUCUCAAUAGGUUUUUCAAAAAAAAAAAAAAAAAAAAAGCCAAACAAGAUGCCUGGACGCCUUGAGGCACGCCUCCGCCGUCUCGGCAUCAUCGGUAAAGCAUUCUGUCCACUCCCUCAAAACAAAGGCACAAACAUUGACGCCCAGCCUCAGAGAACGCCUAGGCGCGCCCUGAGGCAAGCCUUUUAAAACAUUGAUAUUAACAAACAAAGCCAAUGACAUCAAAAUUACCAUUAAAAGGCCACUGUAUCCUCCAUGAACAAUGCCAUCCUCGAUCACAUUGAGGCAUGCUUGGUGAUGAGGCAUAUUGGGAGCAUUCUUCCUGGCUUGUUGUCUGGCAACUUUCAGUAUCUCUCGAGCCUCAGACAGGGAAGCAAGUUUAUCUGUCCUGUGAAGAGAGCGCAACCACGGUUUUCGUCUGUCUGCAAUUUCCAAAGCCCAUGAACGAGAUACUUUCAGCAACUCUUGAGGAGACACAAUAGCAUCUAUAAGACCAAGCUUCUUCCCUUCUUCAGACAGGAUUGGCUUCAACGACUGAAAAGGACCACAUGCUGUACUAAAUUAGAAUCAAUGCAAAAUGAGCUUAUAAUGGAUAAUAAUUUUGAGUAAAAUUUCAAGUUGUCCAAAACAAGCACACUGCGUGUGUUCAGCGUACGGACCUAAAUAUAUAGUUUCAAGAUAGAACACAAGAAAUUAUUUCAUGACAUAUGGGUAUAAAGCUCAACUUGGGAGCAGCCUCUCCAUAAAUGGGGGUAAGGCUAGCCGACAUUCACCUCUCCCAGACCCUGCGUAAAGCGGGAGCCUUGUGCACUGGGUACGACCUUUUUAUAUGGGUAUAAAGCUCAAACAAAAUAUAGUUUAGAGAUAGAACACAAUAAAUUAUUUCAUAAUUCUCAACAUUUCAGUAUGAAGCUCUAAUAAAUUCUAACUGUUCCACACUAAGCUAUCUUUUCCUCUUUUGCCUUUUGUCCCCUCAAAGCAAAUGACAAUGUUUAUGGUAGAUCAAGAAUUGAAAGAAUAUAGUUGCAACCACAAAACUAGAAAAUUGAAAACAAAUAAAAAAAAUGAGCAGAGGGGCCAAUUACCAGCAUCAUUUCAAUUGCCUUCUGAAGCCCUACAAGCCUUGGAAGACGUUGUGUGCCUUACAUAGCAACAAUAUUUUAACAUUUCAGUACCACAAACGACAUUAUUUUAGUGUCCAAUUUACUUGCUUGUGUAGAAAAAAAGUUAUACCUCCAAAUCCAGGUAUUACUCCAAGAGACAACUCUGGAAGACUAAGUUGAGCUCUUGGAGCAGCAAUACGUGCAUGGCACCCCUGCAUGAAAUUUACUAAUAAGACGCAAUUCCACUACAGUUCUGACAGCAAAUUUAUCACCAAAAAUCUAAAAACCAGAAGUUGUCCACUCAUGGGUGCGAGCACAAACCAAUGCCAACUCCAAGCCACCUCCUAGUGCAAGUCCUUCGACGGCAGCAACAACAGGCUUUUUUGAAUCUGUUAUACACACAAGCGGUUAACUCUGAGCAGCAAAAAUGGAACCCAGUAAUUGACCUUUUAGAAAAGAACAUUGGGGACAAUACUUUCAAGUGUGUUGAGCACCAAGUCAAAAGAUACAUCGGGCAUAACCAAAACAUCCCCUACAACACCACACAAAACAACGGUGAGUUCUCAAUCCAUUUCAUCAGUUAACUCAAUGCUACAAAUAGAGAGAGACCAACAUUGUUCAUUUGAAUCAUACCAGACUCGUGAACCUUCCCGAAAACAUUGAUAUCGAAACCGGCUGAAAACCUUCCCGCAUUGCCUUCAUUAAACAAAAAACAAGAAAAUUAAAUUUCAAAACAUCCACAAAGCAGAAGAAAAUCAAUACAAAGAUUCAAGCUUUCAAUUGUCUAAACUUAGAUUUUAUAAUUGGGACGAACUAAAUCGAACAAAACGUCACCACAUCACAAUUCAAUCGAAAGAGCAGGAAUGGAAGCUGCAUUACCAGUCAAAACGAUCGCCUUGACGUCGUUUCGCCUCACGGCCUCCUCGAAUUUCUCCUUCAAGCUAGCUACAGCUGCAGAAGCACCAAAAUAUCAACAAACAAUUACGAACCGCCAGAAAUUUGAUAACGCAGAGGCAGAGCUAGCUCGUUUACUCGGUAUGUCCAAGGCGUUGACAGGUGGAUUGAAGAUGGUGAUGACUGCAACGCCAUCGUUGCCGACCUCCAAGGUGACCUUGACCUUCGCCAUGGAUUCGAAAACCAGAGUGAAGAAGAAGAAGAGAGUGCUAUUUUGAAUGGUACAGUAUCUCGAUUCAUCUCAACGAGGAAUUUAUUGUCGGUGCCUCUAUUUUGAAUGGUACGGUAUCUCGAUUCAUGCAUGUGUUGACUAAUUACACUCAACGGAUAAGUAAGGUAUGGUCUUGUGUGUGUGAAGUACAUUAAACGACCUAUUAACCUUUGGUAUCUCCUUUUGUCAUCUUGUACUUCAUUAGGAUCCAUACUAAAACUUCAACCCUUCAUCUAAUGGUGUAGCUACUGGCUGACAAGUUGACAUGACGGUUUCAUGCAACAAAUCAAUAAUAUACUUCCUUAGAGACAAGAAAAUUAUAGAACAGCUUCUCGAUACCUCAAUCCAUGUUAUCACCAUAUCAUCUACAUGCACAAUAAAUGCAAUCGGCUUCCUAUUUCGUUUUUUUCAGAAAUAGUGUACGACCGAAGUUACUUUAUCUGUAGCCAAAUGUUCUCAUAGAAUUUGUGAAGCUUCCAAAUCACGCUCAAGAGGACUGUUUCGAACCACACAAAGAUUUCUUCAACCUACACACCUUUCUUUUGUAUUUAUCUAGAGCAUUACAUACCAGUGGCAGAUCUAUAUAAAUAUUUUUUUGUCAAAUCUCCAUGCAAGAAGACAUUCUUCACAUCGAACUGUUGUAAUGGCCAAUUAAGAAGUAUAACAAAACACAUAUCGUAUUGAGCUUGGUUAUAGGGGCAAACAUAUAUGUAUAGUCGAUUCCAUAUUUUUUAGCGUACCCUUUUGCUACCAGUCUUGCCUUUAAUCGAUCCAUCAACACUUCAGCUUUGUACUUCAAGUAUAGACCCAUUUGCAUCCCACAAGUUUCUUGCUAACUAGCAAGUCUGUGAUCUCCCAGGUAGCAUUAUUUUUCAAAGACUUCAACUCUUCAUUCAACGUUGCUUGCCAACAUGGAUUAGCUAAAGCCUCCAAAAACUUCAACUUUUCAUUCAUUACUUCUUAGACGCAGAACCGAGGAAAACCACCUAACCAUACUCGCCGGAUGAAGGAAAGGGAUCCAAAUAUCCUAUUGCCAACCAUGUGUCAUCACAUAAACUUCAACAUCAUGCAAAUCAUUCAUACAAAAACUAUCAUCUGAUAAUAUUCCGAGUUCCUUGAAAGAAGCCCUAUCUGAUACUAGAUGGACCAAGGCCAUGAAAGAAGAGAUGAGGGCACUUCACAAGAACCGAACGUAGGAUCUAGUCCCAUUUGCCGAGAGGAAAGAAAAGAGUAGGUGAUGUGGGUGUAUGCAAUCAAGCACAAAGCAGAUGAAUCCUGUUGAUGCACAAAAUCGGUGAGGAUUUUGGUGCAACAGAAAGUGUCAAGUUUGUGACCUUCACUAGAUUGCUCCGGUCACUAGUGUGGAUACGUAUGUAAAUAGAUAGAGACAGGGAAGCAAACACAAGAUGUACGUGGUUCACCCAGAUUGGCUACAUCCACGGAGUAGAGGAGUACUUAUUAAUUGUGAAGAGUUUACACAUGUAUAUAGGUUCAAGCUCUCCUUUAGUGAGUACUAGUGAAUGAUUUAGUACAAAUGACAUUAGGAAAUAUUGUGGGAGAAUGAUCUCCUUUUAUAGAAGAGAGUUUCUAGCUUUGUUUUGACAUUGACACGUGUCGUAUUGUGAUUGGCCUCUGAUGUUGACACGUGUCUCGCUGUGAUUGACCUCUGAUGUCGACACGUGUCACGCUGUGAUUGGCCUCCUGAUUGGAGGGAACCUCUUGUGGAUCCUUGAUAGUAUAACGUUGACCGGUGCUCAGUAGUUUCGGGAUUGGUCAAGUAUGGUACAAACAAAUCCAUUGAGAGGUACAAGGCCUAAUUGGUUGCCAAAGGUUAUACGCAAACCUAUUGUCUUGACUACACAGAGACAUUUGCUCUAGCAGCAAAAUUCAACACAGUAAGAGUGUUGCUUUCAUUGGCAGCAAACCUAGAUUAGCUUACAACAAUUUGAUGUGAAGAACGUCUUUUUACAUGGAAAUCUUAAUGAGGAAGUGUAUAUGAACAUUCCACUAGGGUAUACAUCACUUACACAAUCAAGAGUAAUGUGUAAACUGAACAAAGCUAUGUAUGGACUGAAGCAAUCACGUCGUGCGUGGUUUUGUCAAGUGCAGCAACGGAGCAUAAAGGUCUGGUAAAAAGAUUAUGUGAUAUAUGAAGGCUUCAGCUGUUGCUUACAGAACUUGGGUAUCCGCCGACACUUGCAACAAAGUUGUUAUGUGAUAACAAGGCUGCCAUUAAUAUUUCUCAUAAUCUAAUUAAGCGUGGUUGAACCAAACAUGUUGAAGGAGAAGUUAGACGCAAACAUCAUUCAAUUUCCUUUCGUGAAAUCAAAAGAUCAACUAGCAUAUAUUUUAACAAAGGCAGUUGGAAGUCAAACAUCCUACAACUCACUCGACAAGUUGGGCAUCAACGACAUUUAUACACCAACUUGAGGAGUGCUGGCAUAAGUUGACUUUUUGACGUAAUUAGGGCUUUGUUCCCUAUAUGAUUCCUUGUAAUUAUGGUAGACUUUUAUUUAUUUAUUCUUGUCUUGUAAGUAGUUGUAAUACGUAUCUUGCCUCCUAUGUGAGAAGAGUACAUUGAAGAAUUCAACCACCCAAAUGAGCACCCCGAAUCUUAUUUUCCUAAAUACUGAAUGUGCUCGAAAACCGGUCGAAAAUAGGUUUCAUCUGCUUACAUGCGUGACCUUGAAGACGGGGACGACGACACUGGUGCACUCUGCAGCGCAAGAAAAAAAAUGCCUCAUGUUUACUUCAAAAGGGGAAAAAGUGAAGUACGAAAAUAAGAAUAGUUGUUCUUACCAGAGGCAACCCUCUCGUUGCUCUUUCUUCCAAAAACCUUGAUGGUUUGAAAAAGUUGCCAUAUGUUCCGGACCAUUUCUUGAGACUAGCGUAUAUGUGUUUUGGGCCAACGAGGUCUGCCCAGACACAAUACCGCCCCUGCCAUGUAAGAAACAACGAUGUGAAAUCAAGCAUGUACAUUAACUAACAAGAUCGUUACUGUCAACCAAGUGAAAACACUAAUAGUACACAACUGCAACAAGCUUGUACAAAAAUGGAGAGGGUUGUUCAAGUCCGGACAGUUGAUCCCGCAAGGGAUCCAUUGCCUUGCACCUCAGAUGUCCAGAUCAAACAAUCAGCCCUCUCCAUUAGCUGCACGAGUAGAGAGGCGAAUAUUUCAAACAUCUAAAGUUCAAGCAGACACGAGGGUCAAAAUAGAACUCACCGGUAAGAGGGGAAACUCAUCCCAAGAACAGAUGCGAUGUCAAGGUCUGAUGCUCGAAUAACUAUUCCUUCAUCUAGAAUACGACAUGCCUCAUUCACCGCAGGAAACAGCAUCAUCUCCAGAAUUUCUUGGUCUGUAACAGUCAAAGGCUGCAAGCCAUAGUCCAGCAAACACGUUGAGCAUGAUAGCUAAGAAUGCAUUAUUUAAAGCAACUACUAAGCCCGUAACAGCAAGACAGAAUUCCACUUAGAGUACUACUGUGCAUAAAUGAGAAUCUAUCUUCUGACGUACAGAAAAAGUACCUUUCCAUCAGGCAUGAUAUUGGAAACUCGUCUAGAUUCCUCAAUAAGUGGUAGGACAGAAAGAUCAGGUUUUGGCUUGCUUCCCUUCUCAUAAACGUAAUAUCCUUUUCCGUUGUUUUUACCUGAAAUGCCAAAAGCACAAAGCAGUUAGAACAAAAAACAUGUUACAAUACCCCUCUCCACCUUCUUUCCGAAAAAGGAUGAUCUAAUAAAAUUACUGAAGUUCU
Molecule: long non-coding RNA, 11463 nt
Filed under: Malus domestica (apple)
Lineage: Eukaryota; Viridiplantae; Streptophyta; Magnoliopsida; Rosales; Rosaceae
Description: long non-coding RNA (MDOM_LNC001343)
Source: RNAcentral